AGUAAAUUUUCUGAAUCCAUCAUUUUGGAGAUCGAUCAUUAGAGGGGUUAUAUAACCACGUGUCAUCGUCCCCUUUAAUCUUUUUUUUUCUUUUUCUAUUCUCUCUUUCUUUCCCUUUGUCACCGUGUCUCUCGUCUUCUCGCGACUCCAUGAAUGUCUGCUACCUUCCCUCAAUUCUCCAAUCACUAGGAUCUGAUUCUAUUCACGGUCUCUGAUCUUCGCUUCUUCAACUCUUCUUCUCUGGGUUUAGUGUUUAACCAAUUACACAAAGUCCGACUACUUAAAAGACCUGAACGAUUCCAAGUUUACUGGAAUUGGUAUUGGGGUAUUGGUUCUGAUGACAAUUGGGUAGUGGUUGUCCUCACUACAAAGACACCGGAAGGUAGCUUUUCUCCGGCCGUUACUUACCAUUAUGCAGGAGGUUUCACACUCUGGCAUUAAUGGUUUUGUUAUCAGUUUCUUUUGUUGGUUCUUCUCUUUUGUUUCUUGUUGUUUUGAGUCUGGCACUUGGUUUGUUUGUCAUGUGUAAUAAUGGUCAUCAUCAUCUUUGUUUCUUUACCGUUUCAUUUACUCAAAAUUAUGUACUUGUGAUCAGCUUAAUUACAAUGCCAACUUUUUUUU
Molecule: long non-coding RNA, 621 nt
Organism: Raphanus sativus (radish)
Lineage: Eukaryota; Viridiplantae; Streptophyta; Magnoliopsida; Brassicales; Brassicaceae
Exons: 2
Source: RefSeq, a predicted model, not a curated record